Molecule: long non-coding RNA, 1813 nt
Organism: Sciurus carolinensis (gray squirrel)
Lineage: Eukaryota; Metazoa; Chordata; Mammalia; Rodentia; Sciuridae
Exons: 4
Source: RefSeq, a predicted model, not a curated record
UGGUUGCAGAGGGCGCCGUGAUGGGCGGGGCGGGGCGUCUGUGGUCUCUGAGAGCGUUGGAUCCUUGGCAGGAAUCGGUGGGUCCUGACCGAGGGUCGUGGUGGAGAGACGGAGUCUGGGCGCUGAGAUGAGCUAUACACUUUUUACAGAACACUGCUAUCUAUGGACUUUAACAUGGACUUCAUUUAAAGAAACCCACGGACCAUUAAUGGACAAAAACAUGAAUCAAUUUGUAUUGUGGCAUUCAAAUCCUAGCACUUUGGGAGAGCAGCAAAUACCAAGUUUUUGAAGAUCAUGGCUCACCAUCAUUAUGCAUUCAAGAGUUGAGUAACCACAUCAAGACUUAGAUCCUCUUCAAAAGCUUCAAGUGUCAUCUGUAUUAAAACUCUCCAUUGAACCCUCUCACAAAAGUAAAAGCUGAAAGGGACCCAACUCCAUUAAUACACUUUUAAAAUAUCCCUUCCUCUGACUUAGUUUCCUUGACCAUUAGGGUCUUUCAUGUUGCUUAUGUUCCUUUAGACAAGACCCAAUAAAAUGGUGCAUUCCAAAAAAUAUGUUCUAUGCCGAUAGGUUUUUCUUGGUAGGAAAGUAUAAACUUGGCAUGGAAAGUUUGGAAUUAGGUCCUUUAUUGUAGCCUACACAAAGUUGAAUCAAGAAUGUAAAAAUGAGAAUUAAAUGUUAAAAAUAUUAGAGGUUAGUAGAGCAUGUGUUUUGCAUGAGCAAGACCUGGGUUCAAUCCCCAGCAUCAAAAAAACAAAAAACAAAACAAAAAAAACUCUCAUAUAUUUAUGAGGUUAGAUUAUACUCUGUGUUUUAGAGAAAAGAGCCCCCAACAUGAAAUUCAAUAGUUUUUAUUCUAUCUCUGCCUCUACCUCUUACUAGUUAUAUGAUAAUUGGGAAAGUCAUUUAGCUGACAACUUCAUUAUCUGUAAAAUGAACCUGGUGUUUUCCCUGCCUACCUCACAGGGUUGUUGUGAGGUUCAAAUGAAAUUCUGUACAUUAAAAAAGACAAUAAAAUGUGCAUUACAGAUAUAGGGAUGUUUUAUAUAGUUGCAAAUCAUUUUCUCUGCACUUUGGCCUGGGAAGGUAGAUGAUUUAAACACAAGUUGAAAGCAUGUACCAUGUCCAAGCUGGACACAUGGAAACAAGGCUACAUUAAUAUUUUUUCCCCUGAGUACUUGGAAUACUAUCGUAGGCCAAUUCUAAGAAGGAGGAAGACUCUAAAUUUCCCUCAAAUUAUAAAUUGGCAUUGAUGAUGUUCUAAAGUAAUUAAGCAUUAUAUUAGUGAUUUACAAUAUCCUUUGUACUAAAUUGUGACCAGCAUUUUUUUAAAUGAAAGAACAGAGUAGAAUAUUUCACAAUGCCACCCACACAGGAAGAGUAAACAUUGUUUUAGUUAUAUGAAUGUUUGAAUGUGUGUAUAGUUGGUUAUUAAAUAAAAUAAUUUUUUUCUUGUGAGUUGCAAUUGGAGUUUUUCAGUUCUUAAAGUAUAAUUGUGGUACUAAUGCCUUUCUACAUGUUUGGAUUAUCGGGAGACUUGUUAUCUCUUUUCACAACAUACUGCUAUUUGUGACAAAGGAAUUAAUUGUCAAUAUUAAUUUGACAUUUGAUUUAACUGGAAUACUUUUUACUUCAUAGAAAAGAGAAAUCUCUUAGGCUUUGUUUUUAUUUAUUCUGACACCCAGACUGAUAGAGCAUUUAAAUGGUUGGUUCAACCUCUACUAAUGGGAAGAUUGUGUUAAAUUAAAAAAAAAAAAAAAAAAAAAAACUUAUCUUUCUGGUCUCAUGGCAAAUAAACUCCCACUUUUGUUUA